UGCAGGGUAUAGACCCGAAACCCGGUGAUCUAGCCAUGGGCAGGUUGAAGGUUGGGUAACACUAACUGGAGGACCGAACCGACUAAUGUUGAAAAAUUAGCGGAUGACCUGUGGCUGGGGGUGAAAGGCCAAUCAAACCGGGAGAUAGCUGGUUCUCCCCGAAAGCUAUUUAGGUAGCGCCUCGUGAAUUCAUCUCCGGGGGUAGAGCACUGUUUCGGCUAGGGGGCCAUCCCGGCUUACCAACCCGAUGCAAACUGCGAAUACCGGAGAAUGUUAUCACGGGAGACACACGGCGGGUGCUAACGUCCGUCGUGAAGAGGGAAACAACCCAGACCGCCAGCUAAGGUCCCAAAGUCAUGGUUAAGUGGGAAACGAUGUGGGAAGGCCCAGACAGCCAGGAUGUUGGCUUAGAAGCAGCCAUCAUUUAAAGAAAGCGUAAUAGCUCACUGGUCGAGUCGGCCUGCGCGGAAGAUGUAACGGGGCUAAACCAUGCACCGAAGCUGCGGCAGCGACGCUGAUGCGU
Molecule: ribosomal RNA, 523 nt
Filed under: Salmonella enterica subsp. enterica serovar Eastbourne
Lineage: Bacteria; Pseudomonadati; Pseudomonadota; Gammaproteobacteria; Enterobacterales; Enterobacteriaceae
Description: partial 23S ribosomal RNA
Rfam family: Bacterial large subunit ribosomal RNA
Source: RNAcentral